Ovis aries (sheep) is the source of this 71-nucleotide transfer RNA. It matches the Rfam family "tRNA". Rfam says of the family: Transfer RNA (tRNA) molecules are approximately 80 nucleotides in length. Their secondary structure includes four short double-helical elements and three loops (D, anti-codon, and T loops). The record is from Rfam. NCBI's taxonomy places the organism in Eukaryota, Metazoa, Chordata, Mammalia, Artiodactyla, Bovidae.
UCCCUGGUAGCUCAGAGGUUAAAGCGUCUGCUCCAAUGCAGGAGACCCGGGUUCGAUCCCUGGGUUGGGAA